Molecule: long non-coding RNA, 962 nt
Organism: Canis lupus familiaris (dog)
Lineage: Eukaryota; Metazoa; Chordata; Mammalia; Carnivora; Canidae
Exons: 6
Source: RefSeq, a predicted model, not a curated record
UUUAGACUGAAUUGAUAAUAAGCUUUGCCUGGACAUGACUUGUCACACGGAAGAGAUGUGAUUUAUACACGGAGAUACAAGAUUCUCUGUAUAUGCUCAACUGAGCCAGCUUUUGCUUGAUGAUACAACCACGUUGGAUUGGCUUCAUGGAGAGUGAGAUGUAUUUACGUUUUCCCCGGAGAUUGUUAACCAAGAUAAUGUGUAUUUGGGGCAACAGAGGUUUCAAGCAAGCAGCAUAUCAGAGUGAUGGGUGAGGGGUUGAAGGUCAGCGAACAGGAUUUGGAUUCUGGAUCUGCCGUUGUCCUGUCGCUUGGGAAGGUUACUCUCUGCUUAUGCUACAACCUCCUUAUCAGUGGUAUUCAGUUUGCCAACACAUAGAAUAACGCCCACUGCUCAUCCUGUCAAGUGCCCCCCUCAGUGCCCAAUUUACUGCUUUUCAAAAAGCAGUAAAGCAGAUUUCUCAGCUCGUCCCCCUGUUGGAGAGUCGGGUCAGACCGAAGGGCUGGAGCAGCAGCGUCUGUGAGCGCUGGUCGCCAGCAGCUGGGAGAGAGCUCUCCGGCAAAUGUGCAAACGUGAGCCAGAGAAUGAUGCAUCAGGCCGGCUCUGGGCAGCUCCACAGGAUGCAGGGCUUUCCUCUCCUUCCUGACCUGAGCCCAGAAGACAGAUGAUUUGUUUGUCUGACUGCCCGAGAAGAUCAGAGGAAAUGAGAAAACAAAAUGGCGGCCUAACCAGUUUACAUGAGCAGUUUUCAUCAUUCUGGUGUACUCUUGGAUGAAUCCUUGGUCAAGUGGCAAAGAGAACUACUUUUAAAUGCAAGGUACCCACAUGGAGCAAUUAAGGAGAGCUAUAAAGUGGUAUGGAUUUUCAGAUGUGGCAAGGGCCAGACACAAAUGGAGGACAAUUGACUAAGAUAUUAGCUGAUUUAGGAAAAUCCACAUCCUACCUGUGGGAGAACCCUUACG